AUGAAAGCCCCGAGAUGGAUCUCAUGGAGCCCGAAGAACCCAGGGAGGAGGUACUACAACUGCGGCAAAGCAUUGGGAGUCGACUGCAGAUAUUUUCUUUGGCAUGAUGAUCCGCACAGUCCAUUUGUGAGCAUGUUGCUUGGUGAUUUGCGCGAUGUUGUGUAUCGACUGAAGGAUCAACUGAGGAAUGAAAAUGGCUUGCUCAACGCCAGCUUGUCGAAGAACAAGAUGUUGGAUGCGUAUGUGUGUGAUUUGGAAGUCAAGCAUCAUGGAGAAGUUGCUGUCCUGAAGAAGAAGAUUCAGAAUCUGCAGUUCUGCCUUGUGGUUGCUGUUCUAUUUUGCCAUUUCCUUCUUUUGGAAAUGAUUUACAUCAUAAAAAAAUUAGUUUGUGAAUGA
RNAcentral lists this ribosomal RNA (396 nucleotides) under Triticum aestivum (bread wheat). Its description in RNAcentral is "partial small subunit ribosomal RNA". Lineage: Eukaryota; Viridiplantae; Streptophyta; Magnoliopsida; Poales; Poaceae. The record is from RNAcentral.